UGAAAAGUGAAAAGUGUUUAUAAAUUUCUGUAAAUAAUUAAGAAUUUUUUUUUUUAUUUUUAAAUAAAUAAAUAUGAGAAGAAGAUUAAAAACUACAAAAUGACUAAAUAUUUAAAUAAAUUAACAUCACUAAAUUGUUUUAAAAAGCAAAAUAUGUCAAAAAAUUUAUUUAAAAUUGCUAUUGCAAAAGCACAAAACAAAUUAUAAAAUAUUAUUCAAGGAAGAUGUUAACAUAGUGCCAAUUUAAGAAUCACAUUUAAAAUUACGAUAUUUUUAAUUUAAAAAAAUAUAUAUAUAUAUAUUGUUUCGUUUUGUUUUCUUUUUUAGAAAAUAAAAGAAUAAUAAAAAUUUUUAUUUUAAUCAAAAAAUAAUUUAUUCUUAGUAGUCGUGCCAAGUAGUGCGCAACACAUUUCAACGCAUUUUUAACUUUUUUUUUUUUCUCUCUGUUUUUUCACACUUAAGUAUUUUUAAAGUAAUAAUAUAAUUUUUUUAAUAAAAAAAAAAAAAUACAAAAA
Long non-coding RNA from Condylostylus longicornis, 515 nucleotides. RefSeq lists it as uncharacterized. The record is from RefSeq and is a predicted model, not a curated record. NCBI's taxonomy places the organism in Eukaryota, Metazoa, Arthropoda, Insecta, Diptera, Dolichopodidae. The transcript is spliced from 2 exons.